ACAGAGUCUCAUGUAGCCCAGCUUGGCCACAGAGUCACUAUGCAGCAGGAACAUGGCCUUGAACUUCUGGUGUUCCUGCCUGUGAGGAUCAGCGGAGAAGGAGCCAGGUGACCUUGCACUUGAGCACAGAAUGGAAUGAAGUCGAGUCUCAGCUGUGAGCUCAGCGAUGAGGGAAGAGCAGAUAUUCUCUGGCUGAAGCCAAUGUGAACGCAGAAAACAGAACGGAGUGAAUGGAAAGCCAAUGGUGCAGGAGCAGGAGGGAGACGCGGCUGGAUCCACCCCACCCCCACCCCCACCCCCGCCCAGGGGAAUUCGGAGCCGGAAAGUCAGCAAGGUGUAUCUCCUGUUCUGCUGGGCCUCACAAGGACGCGGAGAAAGGGGAGUACUGGAUGGAUGACAAAUGUCCCAUCCUGGAUGAGGUCUGGGACCGUGAGGUCGGGGUGGCGGAGGGGGACUUGGUGCCAAGACACGGGUGCUACCUCUCAUUUUUCUAGCAACACUCCAAGAUAAACGGCAUCAUCCUUCGCUGCCGAUGAGGAAACCUGACUUCAGAGAAGCAACUCAAAGGCAGCAGCUGUUUAUGUGUUGCCAAGGGAUCUACACCAGCCCGGGGUUGCUUGCCUCUGAAAUCCUCUUCUCCUUCCCCACACCGGCUCAACUAGGUGAAAAGGGGAAGCCUGGGCAGUCCUAAUUCUAGGUCCUGGAAAGCCACCCCCAGAUGCGGACAGUGCUGUGCAGAGUCUCAGCUUGGUAAAUAUUUGCCCCGUGACUGAGACAGAGAGAAUGCUCCUUUCUUGGUCCUGGGCAGCCUCUUGGCAGUUCACACGCACUGUUUACCUUUUCCUCCCACAUUCCCCCCUGAGGAAUCAUCAUCCCCGCCCCCCCCCCCUUCCUUUCCAUCAGUCUGCUCAACUGAAAACAAGGCAGAGCGGUGUGAAGCCGAGUGCCUGCCAUAUAUAAAACCUGUCUCCAGUCUGUCCCCUGUGGCCUCAGGUAGCCUUCCAAACAGCAAGGAUUCUAGGGAAGAAAAAUAUCUUCACAUCAUUUAGUCAGGUGGACAUAAUGGGAUGGGUGUCUUGGGGGGGGGGGUCUCCCAGCCCCACCCCUGAGGAAAAGGGCGGGGAGGUAUACAGUUACCAAGAGGAAAGUGUCUGGGAUUUCCUGGGGAAGCUGCCAUCUCAGGGACUGAAAGUGAAUCAGUAGGAAGUUCGGGAGCCGGGAGGUUCAGUCCCGCUGGGGCCUCUACUGAGGUGGAACGCUGUUGCUCUGGGGUGAAGCUGUGUCCUGGUUGGUUUGCAGCUCAUGGUGCCAGGGAGAGAGCACAAGACCUCCACCCCCUUCCAGCCACCGACUCCAUGAUGCUAAUGAGCCCUGAUUGUUAAAUGGAGGGCUUUGUCAUCCUGGUGUCUCUACAAAAUCCUAGCAUGGCUCUGUAUUUUCUAACCAAGGCCCUAGGCUUCUUUUUAUAGCACGUCGGUUGGGUAUGACAUGUUCCCCCGGGGGUCAACUUUCUAUUUUAUUGCCACUUUAAGAGUAUCUGAGCAUGUGUUUAGAAUUUACAUCUAAAUAAUAGAUUUCUGGAUGGAAACAGCGUGUAUUAUUACUUACAUUUGGUAAAGUCCCCUUGGAUAAGAAGAACCAGCAUAAUAUUAAUUUUCCUUGCUGUCACUUGACAAUAUGAAUUGGUUUUGUAUAAGAACCAGGAGCUCAUUGGAUUGAAUUUAGGAAACUGGUAAAAACAAAUCUGUCUUCAGUGGGUUUGAAUGAUUACAGCAUAGUAAACACACACAGGCUGAAAGGUUAAUUUAUCAUUGCUUCCAGUUUUAUUUAUUUGAGACUCCUUCAUCAUGGGUAUAAACAGCCUUUAUUAAAGAUUAUGAAUCCAAUUUCCAAAUGAGCUGUAAAUGGCUUUCUAUAGAGAGAUUAUUUGAUUUGUUGUUUUCUUGAAUAAAACAUGGUUUUGCCCCGUGGGUUAUGGAGCCUGUAUAUUAAUAUUGGAAGAUAAUUCUGUUGUGCUUGGCAUCUGUGAUGUGCAAUGUUGGAUUUGUUCUCUGAUCUAUCUGUCUUCACUCUCUUUAAUAAAUGCCGAGACCGAAUGCCUAACCUCUUAAGACCUGCACUCCAGUGAGUCAUAAAAGAAUGUCUGUCUGUAUGGCAGUUUAUCACUGGAAUGAUAAUUCUGGUUCCCUUUAAAAAUGCGAAAGUGUCUGCUCUUCAAAACAGACUGCGGUGAAAGGCUAGAGAGAUGCUGUGGGUCACUGCGGGGAGUCAUAAUUGACCUCCGCCUUUGUCGCAUAGAAACAGGCUGACAGGGCAUUAGCUCAUUGCAUACCGCUGAACUACCAAUAUGCUGCCCUCUGAGGUGAAGGCUGGAGGCAGGACUUUGCCGUUUGCAAUUUAGAAAAUUACCUAGAGCAGACCCUUGAGGGGAGGCAGCCUGCAGGAGAGAAGUCCUAGUACUUCCCCGAGUGCUGCAAUGCACAAAUGCAAAUAUUACAAAGGGAAUUGGUGCCUGGGUGGGGUCUUCAUUGUGCAGGAGGCUAGGAAGGUCCUAGGCAGGCCGUUUCUUCCAGUCCCUCAAGGCCAGUCAGUAUACUUUAAUAUAUUAAAGCUGUUGUCUGAAGGGCUAGAAAAGUUAACGUCUGAAGAGAUCCUAUCUCUCUAGGCAAGUUCCUUUUGUGUUGCUAUUUUACUGCAUCGUGGACUCCAGAGUCAAAGGCAUAAAGUUCUAGUGGCUGAGGGUUGUCACUGAAUGUCAGUUUCAGAAGAACUGAGUCCCUGCUGCUAAUGACAGUAUUGUGUCCAGCCUAUAAGGUAACAACUUUCACAUUUAAAAAUUCGUUUUUAUUUUUGAAUUAGUUUUUUUUUUCCCUUCCUCCAAAGGAUCUCCUUAUACAGCCCUGGAUAACCUAGAACUGUCCAUAUAGACCAGGCUGGCUUCAAUCUUCAGGUUAUUACCCUCUCUCAGCCUCCUGGGGAGCUGGGAUUGCCAGCUUGUGCCACCCUACCCGCCCCCCAGCCUCAGCUGGUCCAUAGAACUUUAAAGCAGCAUCCAACCAAAGGCCUGGGUGUCCAAAUUAAAUUGGGCCACAGCCCGGUCUUUGAACUUUAUUGUCAUCGGGGUUUUAAGCUGCUUCAAUAAUCCUGUAGUAAAUACACAUAGUUAAAGUAUGUAUGUAAUCCUGUAGUAAAUACACAUAGUUAAAGUAUGUAAAGUAAAGAAUGUGUUGUGUCUCAGCAAUGAGUCAGCCUAGACUAGUACAAGGCAUCAAGUCAGGCUAAUGUCUUAAGGGGGCUGGCCCCCUUGACACAGAGGGUGAGGGAGGCCCCGAGACUAUCUGACAUACAUCUAAGUCUUCUCUUCAAACUCCAGACUCCCCCUCUUUUCUUAGCCCCCCCUAAGGAAUUCAAGUUUAUCAUUUCUCUCUCCCGUGGAAAGUAAUUCUCUUCCUUCCAAGAUGUUUCGGAUAACCUUACUUCUGAUCACAUCUACAGCCAGGCAUUACACUGGAUCCGUUACAUGGAUACCAGAAGAACAGAACAACCUUCCAAUACCAAUAGACCGGAUACUUAACCCGACUCGGGAAGUCAUGCUGAAUCUCUCUAUUGACGGCUCAUUUGGAAAUUGGAUUCUUAAGCUUCAUUCUUUUACUUUUGGAGACAGGUGCCCUGGCUGGACUCAGACAUAGCCUGGGCUAGCCUUGAAGUCUUGCUUCUCCGGCCUCUGCUAGGAAUUUAGGUGUAUGCUACUUCCCCUGCUUUCAUUCAUUAUCUUUAAUAAAGCCUGCCUUAACCUCUGUCUGGAUGGAAGGUUCUGGUUAUCUUCUCUGUCUUGAUAAUCUUGUAGGUGUCUGCUCCUACAUUUAGCAUAUGGCAUAUGUAAAAUUACUCAGCUUUUUUAUUCACUGAUAGAUUAUUAAUACGUAUGUAAAUAUGACAUAAUAUCUUAGCUUAUUUUAGUGGGAUCUGCAAA
This is a long non-coding RNA of Peromyscus maniculatus bairdii (prairie deer mouse), 3973 nucleotides long. RefSeq lists it as uncharacterized. The record is from RefSeq and is a predicted model, not a curated record. Lineage: Eukaryota; Metazoa; Chordata; Mammalia; Rodentia; Cricetidae.